This 637-nucleotide long non-coding RNA is filed under the name Brassica napus (rape). Its description in RNAcentral is "long non-coding RNA (BNAP_LNC012602)". Lineage: Eukaryota; Viridiplantae; Streptophyta; Magnoliopsida; Brassicales; Brassicaceae. The record is from RNAcentral.
UAUGUAUUCUUUUGUCAUCUAAAAAUAUAUUAAAAUAUUUGACCACAAAUUACAAACCAAAACUCAGUCGACAAAGAUUGAAAUUCUUUCAGAAGUAAAGUCAAUAAGUUCACAAAACAAAUAUUUCGGAGACAAAAGCCCAACAAAAAAAAACCACAAACAAAUGGAAAUAAACAAGAAAUGAAGUAUUUAUGACAAAGAAACAAAAAAACUUCAUAACUCAACUGAUAGAAGACCAAAGAUAUUGGAGCCUGAGUUGAAUCCAAAACCAAAAGAUUCGAGAAGCGUCUAAGGUGAAGAUAGACCUUGCUUGAUCCCAAGAAGUAACAGCACGGCAAAGAGGAUGAGGCGAGCGAAAUAAAAGCAAAGCCCAGGAGCUAUUCCAGACACGAAUACACGAAGAAAACGCAGCCCGCAACACAACACUUCAUCUAUCGAAGGAGUAUCGAUCGGAUAGAAAAAUCUAUUAUGAAAAUUUGAUAAAAUAAUUCUUAUACAACGUUCUAGACUUUAUCUGUCACGGUUUCUCCUUUUCAAUACAUUCUGUAUCGCAUGAAACUAAAUUCGUAAAAGACCCCUAUUUAUACUUGUUUUAAAUUCGCAAAGACUGGCACCACAUUAAGUUAAUCGAAGGGUC